Molecule: long non-coding RNA, 203 nt
Filed under: Elaeis guineensis (African oil palm)
Lineage: Eukaryota; Viridiplantae; Streptophyta; Magnoliopsida; Arecales; Arecaceae
Description: long non-coding RNA (EGUI_LNC075606)
Source: RNAcentral
CCGAACCAUCGGCCGACAGGCCGAUCGGGCCCCGACCAAAGAGAGGCUAAAAGCCCACGCGACUGUCGUCGCGACUUCCGACCAGGCUACGGCCGGUCGAGGGAUAUUCGGCUUACCACCGUCUAUCACACGACGCGACCUUAGUCGCACCCACGACUUGCCGACCGACCCGCGGCCGGCUGAACGACAUUCGGCUUACUACC